UGCAAGUCGAGCGGCCGUAGCAAUACGGCAGCGGCAGACGGGAGAGUAACACGUGGGAACGCGCCCUUCGGUCCGGGAUAACCCAGGGAAACUUGGGCUAAUACCGGAUACGCCCUUACGGGGAAAGAUUUAUUGCCGAAGGAACGGCCCGCGUCCGAUUAGCUAGUUGGUGAGGUAACGGCUCACCAAGGCGACGAUCGGUAGCUGGUCUGAGAGGAUGACCAGCCUCACUGGGACUGAGACACGGCCCAGACUCCUACGGGAGGCAGCAGUGGGGAAUAUUGGACAAUGGGCGCAAGCCUGAUCCAGCCAUGCCGCGUGGGUGAUGAAGGCCCUAGGGUUGUAAAGCCCUUUCAGCGGGGAAGAUAAUGACGGUACCCGCAGAAGAAGCCCCGGCUAACUUCGUGCCAGCAGCCGCGGUAAUACGAAGGGGGCUAGCGUUGCUCGGAAUUACUGGGCGUAAAGCGCACGUAGGCGGCUUUCUAAGUCGGGGGUGAAAUCCUGGAGCUCAACUCCAGAACUGCCUUCGAUACUGGAGAGCUCGAGUCCGGGAGAGGUGAGUGGAACUGCGAGUGUAGAGGUGAAAUUCGUAGAUAUUCGCAAGAACACCAGUGGCGAAGGCGGCUCACUGGCCCGGUACUGACGCUGAGGUGCGAAAGCGU
This 662-nucleotide ribosomal RNA is filed under the name uncultured bacterium. RNAcentral describes it as "bacterial SSU rRNA". It matches the Rfam family "Bacterial small subunit ribosomal RNA", at positions 56 to 762 of the family's 1533-position model. The record is from RNAcentral.